Molecule: ribosomal RNA, 490 nt
Filed under: uncultured bacterium
Lineage: Bacteria
Description: partial 16S ribosomal RNA
Rfam family: Bacterial small subunit ribosomal RNA
Source: RNAcentral
AUUGAACGCUGGCGGCAGGCCUAACACAUGCAAGUCGAACGGUAACAGAGAGCAGCUUGCUGCUUUGCUGACGAGUGGCGGACGGGUGAGUAAUGUCUGGGAAACUGCCUGAUGGAGGGGGAUAACUACUGGAAACGGUAGCUAAUACCGCAUAACGUCGCAAGACCAAAGAGGGGGACCUUCGGGCCUCUUGCCAUCGGAUGUGCCCAGAUGGGAUUAGCUAGUAGGUGGGGUAAAGGCUCACCUAGGCGACGAUCCCUAGCUGGUCUGAGAGGAUGACCAGCCACACUGGAACUGAGACACGGUCCAGACUCCUACGGGAGGCAGCAGUGGGGAAUAUUGCACAAUGGGCGCAAGCCUGAUGCAGCCAUGCCGCGUGUAUGAAGAAGGCCUUCGGGUUGUAAAGUACUUUCAGCGGGGAGGAAGGGAGUAAAGUUAAUACCUUUGCUCAUUGACGUUACCCGCAGAAGAAGCACCGGCUAACUCCGUG